Long non-coding RNA from Brienomyrus brachyistius, 2063 nucleotides. RefSeq lists it as uncharacterized. NCBI's taxonomy places the organism in Eukaryota, Metazoa, Chordata, Actinopteri, Osteoglossiformes, Mormyridae. The record is from RefSeq and is a predicted model, not a curated record. The transcript is spliced from 3 exons.
GAUAGAAAGCUGAGCUGGGGAAAAGGGUUAUCAGUCCUUUUCACUUCCAGUUAGACCGCAGAAGUGCAUAUUUACCCAGCGCUGCACAAGAGAACAUUUGUACUGUAUAGUGGCAGAAAAAAACUCCUCAAACCCAGGUUAUGUCACACUUUCAACCCAAUUAUGACAGCAGAGAUGGUCAUGGGUGGCUGUUUGAGGUGACAGAAUCAAACAGGACUCCCUGCCUUAUAACACGCUUGGGGAGGUUGGAAGCAGGUGAUUUUCAUUAGAAGCCUGAACAGCCAUCUCCUGGAGGUACCUAUACUACUGUGAGCACAAGGGAUCAGUCAUUGUUGCUAUUUUGUAACAGGGAGUCCAUCCAAGCAGAUGGUAACAGGUCUACACUCUCAGAGCCAUUUACGGCAGGUACUGUAGUGGUUACUGUGGUGUCUCAUUAAAGACAGGUGUGGUCCUGAUAGGAUAUGUGAUGAUCCCGACUGAUGGUCCGGUCGAAUCCGCUAAACCGAGUAGCUUUAGUUUGUAGAGCUAUCAGGCCAAAUUACGAGAGUGAUGAUUGAUGGGCUAAGCAAAACACCAGCACGUUUUAAGUGCUUAUUUAAUGCAGAUAAUGAGCAUGCAGCAUUAUUCUAGGGUCAUGACCUCUCGUACUGCACUUGUAUUUCAAUAAAGUAUGUAAAUGCAUCAUAAUUAUAAAGCAGGGUCGUCUGAUUCCGGUCCUGGAGGCCAGUUAGCAACACGGUUAGCAGAUUUCCCUCUUGAAACACUCCCACUAAACCUGGUAAUUAGAUGGUUAAGUUGUGCUUGAGCCGGGAAAUCUGCAAAUUGUGCUAUAUUCUGGCCUUAUAGGACUGGAAUUAAGCAACCCUGUUCAUCAGCCAUGCGAUUGUGUGUGUCUUUAUGGGUUUGGCACCUAUACCUGUGAUCAGAAGGUCACCAGUUCAAAUCCCGUAAUUAGCUGAACGAAGCUGCAUUGGUCCUUUGAGCAAGGCAUCUAAUCCUAAGUGCUUUAGGGGCGUUGGACACUGCCUGACCCUAUAACCUGCUCUCACCUGUCUGUGUCUCUUGGAGAGUAUUAAGGAGUAAAUAACAGUAUCAACACUCUGUGUAAUGCAUCCCUAAGGUGGCAGGUGUCUGGAUGAAUUGAACGAAAUUGAACACAUCGGUGAGAACAAUGUCUCGCAUACCUGAAACACCAUCUUGUUCAUGUCACGCCACAACCCUAGAGCACGCAGAAUGCUUGCAAUACAGCAGACCAACGUACAGAGCACAAAUAAACACAUUGUGGCGAGUGUGUGAGUUGUUUUAAUAAAGGAGAUGACAGCUCUUUGAAAAUGGAAGUUGCUCUCUCUAUUAACAGCCCUGUUGUUUCGCUGUAUGGCUGCAAGACAUGGACCAGUGACCCGAGACGAAGACGACUCCUUCGGUACUGUGUCUCUGCGGAGAGUCCUUGCAUACGGCUGAUUUGACUUUUGCGUUUCCCUGAGGGUGAUCCGGCUCGCAGGAUCCGAGCGGCUGGAACAGGCCAAAGGGACGCCCACGUAACACCUGGCUGCGGCAGAUAGACGGCCAUUUCUGGAGGGUGGGACUGAACCGCGUGUCAGUCUUGGGGGGUCACAAACUGGGAUCCCAAGGUGUUUCAUUGUGUGGUGGGUGCUAUACCAGGGGGUGCUCCCCAACCUGACCUGACCUCACUAUUGGUUUAAUACCAGCAGUGGUGCAGACAGGGAAUUUAAGCACCAACUCACAGAUAACACGCUUGCAUUCCACAGCAAACAUGACAUGGUUCUGACUUACUAUUAACAGAAAUGCAAAAAUACACAUAUGAAUUUAUACUACUCAUGAAUAUGUGCCGUGUGACGCAAAGCAUGCUGGCAUAAUUAGUCCUGCUGACCAACCCCGCGGUGUCACAUUUAUUACAGCCAAUCGUGGAUAGUGGGUGGGAUCAGAACAAAUGAAAAAUUUCUCUUGGGGAUCCUGCACAGGCGGUGAUUACGGGUCAUGUGGCGUCAUGUUGCUAAAACCACAUCGAUUCCGUUAAUUUCAUGUGAAGUAUACGGAUGCUA